GGGAGUGUAGCUCAGUGGUGGAGCGCUUACCUGGCAUGCAUGAGGCCCUAGGUUCAAUCCCCAGCACCA
Molecule: transfer RNA, 69 nt
Filed under: Cavia porcellus (domestic guinea pig)
Lineage: Eukaryota; Metazoa; Chordata; Mammalia; Rodentia; Caviidae
Rfam family: tRNA
About the family: Transfer RNA (tRNA) molecules are approximately 80 nucleotides in length.
Source: Rfam by way of RNAcentral